UCCUUGGGUCUACAGAGCGACCUGCUAUUAGCUGUGCCCAUCCCUGAGGAGCAUGCAGCAGCCGGCCAACCGAUUGAGGACGCUAUACAGGCUGCACUGGCAGAGGCCAAUGCUAAAGGCAUUAGAAGAAGAGAUGUGACGCCCCCUUCAUCCUUCAAAAGGUCAACGAAUUUGCCCAGAGGAAAGUCCGUCCUAGCUAGUUACCUUCUCAGAUCAAUACCGUGACACAAGAAACUAUGGUAGAGGGAGAGAAUCAAUCUCAGUGUAAGGUUAGAAAUUGUGGGAAAAAAAGGUAAUGAGCUGACAUAUUGUUGUUCUUAAAAAAUAUAUAUAUAUUAUAUAUAUUUCUCCAUAUAACUUUAUAUGAGGUCCCUUAACCUCAUAUUCCCAAAGAUAUCGCUCAACAUGCAUAAUAGUGUCAGGUUGGGCAGGCAGAUAGCCUGUGCACUGUCUGAACAAAUGCAGAAGAAGAGGACUAUUCCUGGUCUUCACGUAAAAGAGGAAGAGAAAGAUUCUGACUAUCAAAAAUUGUGAGUACUAGUCAUAUGUUCCUCAUCAAAUGCAGGUGAACCCCUCUUAUCUUGUCUUAUAGAGUGCACCACUUUAGUUUUAGCAUGAUGGACAGUGGGUGACAUGCUUGCUGUACAAUACCACUGUGGCUUGUUUAAAAAAAAUCGUAGGUGGUGUGAACGUGGAUUUUAUUGCAAUGGGGAACACAGAGUAGCUUGUGGUACAUAGGCUUACAUCAAACACACUGUACUGUAUACUGUAGGCUUAUGUCUAUAACAUUCAGAUUAUGUUAAUAUAAUGGGUUUAUUUGAUUGAGACAUAACUACUUUUAUAUUUCACAUUUGGACAGACGAAUACUGGAAUUGUUGGCCUUGUUGGCCCUGGUGGAGUAGGAAGGAACCUUGCUGGUUCGUUUUAAUUUCCUGAUCUGCAAAACUUCAACUGGUUAUGAGGAUAUGGUGUACAAAUAUUACAUUGAGUUAAGUUCUUUUGGGAUGUUUUUCCCAACAGACUCUCUGAACAGAAUUGGACAAAGACCUCUGUUCAUCUCAGCCAUUGGAACUGACUCUCACAGUGAUGCUGUACUGAACUACUCUCAGCACAUGUGCACCAGAGGCGUCGCCAGGCUUCAAGAGCAGAGGACCGCAACUUAUUGUGCCGGGAUGACUGAGAACGGUGACCUGAGUCUCGGAUUGGGCGACAGGCAUAACAGCCAGCAAAUCACAGAACAGUAUUCUUGCAGGUGGGAUAACGGCUGGGAUGUUCCCGGGCAGAGACACUCAAAGCUGUGUUAAGAUGGGGCUCCUGGCAACAUGCCUGUCACUGCCCUCCCCACACCCCACCUGCCCAACUCUGACCACAGACUAUAUUGAACCAAACAAUGUCCAACCACCCAAACCCUGGCCUUAACCCACCCUUAUGUGGAUGGAGGAAUGAGGAACAACUAUCUUUUAUUAUGUUGUUUGACCAUCAAAAUAACUUUUCAAUGAUUAGUUUAAAAAACUGUCUACCACAGUGACAGAAUGGUGAUCAUUUGCAUACAUUUUAAAUAAAAUACUUUUAAAUUCUUCUA
This is a non-coding RNA of Oncorhynchus mykiss (rainbow trout), 1582 nucleotides long. The record is from RefSeq and is a predicted model, not a curated record. Lineage: Eukaryota; Metazoa; Chordata; Actinopteri; Salmoniformes; Salmonidae.